Molecule: microRNA precursor, 125 nt
Filed under: Daucus carota subsp. sativus
Lineage: Eukaryota; Viridiplantae; Streptophyta; Magnoliopsida; Apiales; Apiaceae
Description: sRNA DCAR_mi00163
Source: RNAcentral
UAGCAUGAUUAUUGAUUCUUUGUGCAAGGACGGACUGGUUGAUCAAGCUUUGGGUCUUGUGUCUGAAAUGAAUGAGAAAGGCAUAUUACUAGAUGUUAUAGCAUAUACCACAUUACUUCAAGGUC